Molecule: long non-coding RNA, 135 nt
Organism: Perognathus longimembris pacificus (Pacific pocket mouse)
Lineage: Eukaryota; Metazoa; Chordata; Mammalia; Rodentia; Heteromyidae
Exons: 3
Source: RefSeq, a predicted model, not a curated record
AGCUGUUGAGCUACUGUGAUCCACUGAUAGGUCUAUUCUAGACCUUUUUAUGUUUGUUUAGUAGUUGUUUGGUUUUAGAUACACAAUGGAAAGUUGCUGACCUAAACACGUGGAAAUACCACUUGAAACAGAUGC